RNAcentral lists this unclassified non-coding RNA (245 nucleotides) under Hevea brasiliensis (rubber tree). Lineage: Eukaryota; Viridiplantae; Streptophyta; Magnoliopsida; Malpighiales; Euphorbiaceae. The record is from RNAcentral.
CGCCGCGAGCCAGUUGUGACAUGUUCCGUUUGCGUGGAUUGGUCCACAGUUUGUACCCAUCUCCUCAGCGAACUGAUCGUAAAAUGGACUACGCUGCCGAUUUCGUCAGACCGGACAACACUUCCGGAAGCUGCCGCGGCGAGGACACAACGAAGUCCGGGCCAUGUCCGAUAGCUUCCGUUUGCAUCCGAGUCGCCUUGAAAAUCGUUUUCGGACCGAUAACGGACGACGAACGGAUCUCUUCA